GACGAACGCUGGCGGCAUGCCUAACACAUGCAAGUCGAACGGAGAUUAUUUCGGUAAUCUUAGUGGCGAACGGGUGAGUAACGCGUGGGCAACCUGCCCUCUAGAUGGGGACAACAUCCCGAAAGGGGUGCUAAUACCGAAUGUGACAGCAAUCUCGCAUGAGGAUGCUGUGAAAGAUGGCCUCUAUUUAUAAGCUAUCGCUAGAGGAUGGGCCUGCGUCUGAUUAGCUAGUUGGUGGGGUAACGGCCUACCAAGGCGAUGAUCAGUAGCCGGUCUGAGAGGAUGAACGGCCACAUUGGGACUGAGACACGGCCCAGACUCCUACGGGAGGCAGCAGUGGGGAAUCUUCCGCAAGGGGCGAAAGCCUGACGGAGCAAUGCCGCGUGAGUGAUGAAGGAAUUCGUUCCGUAAAGCUCUUUUGUUUAUGACGAAUGUGCAGAUUGUGAACAAUGAUCUGUAAUGACGGUAGUAAACGAAUAAGCCACGGCUAACUACGUG
Molecule: ribosomal RNA, 498 nt
Filed under: uncultured bacterium
Lineage: Bacteria
Description: partial 16S ribosomal RNA
Rfam family: Bacterial small subunit ribosomal RNA
Source: RNAcentral